AUAAUAAAAUCAGGAAUAAAAAAAAAAAAGAAGAGCGGCCCGGGCCGCUCCAGCUCUCCUCCUCCCACCCCUCUGCCCACCCUCUCCCCCUCUCCCCGGCCCCCAGCCCCGAACCCCGCGCACCUCGUCAGGGGACGGGGCGCGGGGGGGGGGGGCGGGGGGGGGGUGGGCAGGGCCGCCUCUCCUCCCCGCCCCCUCCUCCUCCGGCCUCUGGAGCGAUUUGUCAAACUUCCCAUUCCGCCGGCAGCGCGGUCCUCCUCUUCCUCCUCCUCCUCCUCCUCCUCCUCCUUCUCUGCCUCCUCCUCCCCCCUGCGCUCCUCCCUCCGCGAGCCUCCCUCGCCCGCCCUCCUUCUUCCCUCCGCACGUUCGGGGUUCGCGGCGGAGCGCGGCGCGGGGGGGACGCAGAGAGCCUGGGCGCAGCAGCAUCCUGCGGGUGGCGGCUCUCCGGAGGAGGGGAGGCUGAGAGCAGGCCCGCCUCGUCCCCCCCGCGGGCCCGCCGCCCCUCCCUCCCUGUCCUCAGCCCGGCAGCGGCGGCGGCGGCAGUGGCAGUCGCCAGAGAAGCAUCAUGACGGGGAGGAAGCAGCAGGCGCCCCGGCGCAGCAGAUGGGAGGGCAUUCUCAGCACGUGGCUUUCGCUGUUAUGGCUGCACUGAAUAAAAGCAAGCAGCUCCAGCUGUCCGAGGCUGCUCUCUUUGGCCACUGGAGCUGGCAGCCCCCUAGCUGGUCUUACACUGUAUACCUGUGUCUGAGUACUCCUUUCAUCUGUCACUUGGCCAGGGUCUGUGGGACAGACCCAGCAACUCUGCAGGCUGGAAAGUGCAAGACCAAGUUGCGGACAGAUUUAGUGUCUGGUUAAAGCCCUCUUUCCGGUUGGCCAGUGGCUGUCUUUUUGUUUGGCUGAGCAUGGUGGCUCAUGCCUGUAGUCUCAGCACUUUGGGAGGCCGAGGUGGGAAGAUUACUUGAGCGUAGGAGUUUUAGACUAUCUCAGGCAACAUAGUGACACUCUGCCUCAAAAAAAAACAAAGAAGAAAAGAAGACAGGUAGAGAGAGAGAAGAAAGAAAUAAAGAAAGAAAGAGAAAGAAAGAAAAGAAAGAAAGAAAAAGAAAGAAAGAAAGAAGAAAGAAAAGAAAGAAAGAAAGAAGAAAGAAAAGAAGAAAAGAAAGAAAAGGUGAGAGGGUGGGAGGGAGGGAGGGAAGGAAGGAAGGGAGGGAGGGAGGGAGGGAGGGAAGGAGGGGAGGAAGGAAGGAAGGAAGGGAGGGAGGGAGGGAGGGAGGGAGGGAGGGAAGGAAGGAAGGAAGGAAGGAAGGAAGGAAGGAAGGAAGGAAAUCUCAACAAGGACAUUUUCCAGUCUGCCUUUCACAUCAGGAUUCUCAAGCACUUUACCAGAUUAUGCAUAGGGCCAUUUCACUGUUCACUGUAUUAGUUAUUCAAACAGAGCUUUGGGUAUGUCAAGGUACCUGCAGGGUACCAUCCAACAAAGCUCUGACAUCCCUAUGCAAAUAGUCAAACAAAUUUGUCCUUGGAAACUUUUUGGCUGCCACACAGUUCAGUCCCCAGGUAUUUGUCCUGGGGUCUCCCAUGUAAGCUAUUCUCUAGUAAGCCC
This is a long non-coding RNA of Callithrix jacchus (white-tufted-ear marmoset), 1603 nucleotides long. NCBI's taxonomy places the organism in Eukaryota, Metazoa, Chordata, Mammalia, Primates, Cebidae. The record is from Ensembl.